UGCCAGAGGUCACUGCUAUCGGGGUUCGAUUAAGCCAUGCGAGUCGAGAGGGUUCGGCCCUCGGCGUACUGCUCAGUAACACGUGGAUAGCCUGCCCUAAGGAAGGGGAUACCCCCGGGAAACUGGGUAUAAUACCCUAUAGAUUACAGAUGCUGGAAUGCCCUGUAAUCGAAAGUUCCGACGCCUUAGGAUGGAUCUGCGGCCGAUUAGGUUGUUGUCGGGGUAAUGGCCCAACAAGCCAGUGAUCGGUACGGGUUGUGGGAGCAAGAGCCCGGAGUUGGAUUCUGAGACACGAAUCCAGGCCCUACGGGGCGCAGCAGGCGCGAAAACUUUACAAUGCGGGCAACCGUGAUAAGGGAACCUCGAGUGCCUGUAUAUGCAGGCUGUCCAGGUGUCUAAAACACACCUGAAGAAAGGGCCGGGCAAGACCGGUGCCAGCCGCCGCGGUAAUACCGGCGGCUCGAGUGGUGGCCACUUUUAUUGGGCUUAAAGCGUUCGUAGCUGGGUCGUUAAGUCUCUUGGGAAAUCCGGCAGCUCAACUGUCGGGCGUCUAAGAGAUACUGGCGAUCUUGGAACCGGGAGAGGUGAGGGGUACUUCGGGGGUAGGAGUGAAAUCCUGUAAUCCUCGAGGGACCACCUGUGGCGAAGGCGCCUCACCAGAACGGCUUCGACAGUGAGGGACGAAAGCUGGGGGAGCAAACCGGAUUAGAUACCCGGGUAGUCCCAGCCGUAAACGAUGUGCGUUAGGUGUAUCAACGACCACGAGUCGUUGAGGUGCCGAAGGGAAACCGUGAAACGUACCGCCUGGGAAGUACGGUCGCAAGGCUGAAACUUAA
RNAcentral lists this ribosomal RNA (836 nucleotides) under uncultured archaeon. RNAcentral's name for it is "bacterial SSU rRNA". It matches the Rfam family "Archaeal small subunit ribosomal RNA", at positions 15 to 859 of the family's 1478-position model. The record is from RNAcentral.